CAGUCGCCGCGGGAAUACGAAGGGGGCUAGCGUUGUUCGGAUUUACUGGGCGUAAAGGGUGCGUAGGCGGAUUGUUAAGUCAGGGGUGAAAUCCCGAGGCUCAACCUCGGAACUGCCUUUGAUACUGGCGAUCUUGAGUCCGGGAGAGGUGAGUGGAACUGCGAGUGUAGAGGUGAAAUUCGUAGAUAUUCGCAAGAACACCGGUGGCGAAGGCGGCUCACUGGCCCGGAACUGACGCUGAGGCUCGAAAGCGUGGGGAGCAAACAGGAUUAGAUACCCCCGUAGUCCCUGUCUCUUAUAC
This 301-nucleotide ribosomal RNA is filed under the name uncultured bacterium. Its description in RNAcentral is "partial 16S ribosomal RNA". It matches the Rfam family "Bacterial small subunit ribosomal RNA", at positions 509 to 807 of the family's 1533-position model. The record is from RNAcentral.